This 253-nucleotide ribosomal RNA is filed under the name uncultured bacterium. Its description in RNAcentral is "partial 16S ribosomal RNA". It matches the Rfam family "Bacterial small subunit ribosomal RNA", at positions 524 to 776 of the family's 1533-position model. The record is from RNAcentral.
UACGAAGGGGGCUAGCGUUGUUCGGGAUUACUGGGCGUAAAGCGCACGUAGGCGGGUUAGUAAGUCAGGGGUGAAAUCCCGGGGCUCAACCUCGUAACUGCCUUUGAUACUGCUGAUCUCGAGUCCGGAAGAGGUGAGUGGAAUUCCUAGUGUAGAGGUGUAAUUCGUGGAUAUUAGGAAGAGCACCAGUGGCGAAGGCGCCUCACUGGUAAGGUACUGACACUGAGCGGCGACAGCCGGGGCAGGAAACACC